GAUGAACGCUGGCGGCGUGCCUAAUACAUGCAAGUCGAGCGAACGGACGAGAAUCUUGCUUCUCUGAUGUUAGCGGCGGACGUGUGAGUAACACGUGUAUAACCUACCUAUAAGACUGGUAUAACUUCGGGAAACCGGAGCUAAUACCGUAUGAUAUUUUGAACCGCAUGGUUCAAAAGUGAAAUACGGUCUUUCUGUCACUUCUCGAUGGAUCCGCGCUGCAUUAGCUAGUUGGUAAGGUAACGGCUUACCAAGGCAACGAUGCAUAGCCGAACUGAGAGAGGGAUAGGCGACCUGGGAAGUGGAACGGGGUCAAGACGACUAAGGGACGGAGCAGACGGGAAUGUGACGCAAUGGGGGAAAGCAUGACGGAGCAAGGCCGAGUGAGUGAUGAAGGCGUUCGGAGCGUAAAAAUCGGUCAUGAGGGAAGAACAUAUGUGUAAGUAAAUGUGCACAUCGUGACGGUACCGAGUCAGAAAGCCACGGCUAACUACGUG
This 497-nucleotide ribosomal RNA is filed under the name uncultured bacterium. Its description in RNAcentral is "partial 16S ribosomal RNA". It matches the Rfam family "Bacterial small subunit ribosomal RNA", at positions 28 to 507 of the family's 1533-position model. The record is from RNAcentral.